This 286-nucleotide unclassified non-coding RNA is filed under the name uncultured fungus. Its description in RNAcentral is "sequence contains ITS1". Lineage: Eukaryota; Fungi. The record is from RNAcentral.
GAAGUGCGAUAAGUGUCAUGACUUGCAGAUUCCCGAGAGCUGACAAAUUUCUGAGUGUCAUGUUCAGACUCAAAAUCGAGCCCUCAGAAAAGCCUUUUUUGAUCAGAUGAUUAAUCAUCUGAGAGAGGAAGGUGACUUCGGACAUAAUCAUAUAUUUAAUAUCUAUAGAGAUAAAGAUAUUCUUUAUCUCUCUAUAUAAAUAUAUUGAAAAUGAAUGAAGUUCUACGUAGUUAAAAACUCUAUAGGAAAUCUACCUCUACUAUGCAGGAGAACCCGCUGAACUUAA